This is a long non-coding RNA of Microtus oregoni (creeping vole), 612 nucleotides long. RefSeq lists it as uncharacterized. The record is from RefSeq and is a predicted model, not a curated record. NCBI's taxonomy places the organism in Eukaryota, Metazoa, Chordata, Mammalia, Rodentia, Cricetidae. The transcript is spliced from 4 exons.
AGAAGGCAGAUUUGUGAGAAGCUGUGGAGCUGUCAGAGGAGAAAGAUACGAGCUGCUAACUGGAACCUUGCUGUACUCCAGGUGCCUCUGUUCCAAAGCAGCAUGCUCAGUUGAUAAGGAUAAGUACUUCUCAUGGAGGAUGAUGGCCCUAGAAAAAUAUUUCUGAAUUGUUAUAUCUGAAGUCUAAGGCAUCUACAUAGCUUGAUUCAAUACUGAGAAGACUUAAGAGGUUUCCACUUGGUUGACAAAUGCAUCCAAGCAUCAGUUGCUGAUAACAACCUGCUCCAAAUGACUACGAGUCCUGACUUUGCUGAAACCUGACAUGGACCAAUCCAGCCAAUGUGACUGCUGUCUUUUCAGCUUGUCAAUGAAACAGAUUCUUCUAAGUUCCCUCUUUGUUUUUGACUAACAUUCUAGUUUUCCAGGGCCCCGAGAAAAACGUCCUAAGGUCAGCAGGAAGUAAUUACAGAAAUGAAUGCAUCAUCCCUGUUCACACCCGCCCUCCCCCAAAUGUUAGAUAAAAAGGAAAUUUCUCUGUCAGUCAUCACAGGGAUUUUGGCCAUUAAUGUCUUCAAUAGUUAAUAAUUUCUAUCUGGGUGUCAUUAAACUAAU